RNAcentral lists this ribosomal RNA (279 nucleotides) under uncultured bacterium. RNAcentral describes it as "partial 16S ribosomal RNA". It matches the Rfam family "Bacterial small subunit ribosomal RNA", at positions 506 to 784 of the family's 1533-position model. The record is from RNAcentral.
UGCCAGCCGCCGCGGUAAUACGAAGGGAGCUAGCGUUGUUCGGAAUUACUGGGCGUAAAGCGCGCGUAGGCGGACCAGAAAGUUGGGGGUGAAAUCCCGGGGCUCAACCCCGGAACUGCCUCCAAAACUCCUGGUCUUGAGAUCGAGAGAGGUGAGUGGAAUUCCGAGUGUAGAGGUGAAAUUCGUAGAUAUUCGGAGGAACACCAGUGGCGAAGGCGGCUUACUGGCUCGAUACUGACGCUGAGGUGCGAAAGUGUGGGGAGCAAACAGGAUUAGAUA